AGAGUUUGAUCCUGGCUCAGAGUGAACGCUGGCGGCGUGGAUUAGGCAUGCAAGUCGAGCGAUUCUCUAUCGGGCUCUGCAGUUCGACGCAAGAAGAAAUGCAGAAUCUGACUUAGGAUAGCGGCAAACGGGUGAGUAACGCGUGAGUAAUUUGCCCUGAAACCAGACAUAGCUUCGUGAAAACGGAGGUAAUAUCUGAUAAUGCCAUUAUAACGCAUGUUAUUUUGGUUAAAGGUGGGGAUCUUCGGACCUGCCGUUUCGGGAUGAGCUCGCGUCCUAUCAGCUUGUUGGUGGGGUAACGGCCUACCAAGGCAUUUGACGGGUAGCUGGUCUGAGAGGAUGGUCAGCCACACUGGGACUGAGACACUGCCCAGACUCCUACGGGAGGCUGCAGUCGAGAAUAUUUAGCAAUGGGCGAAAGCCUGACUAUGCGACGCCGCGUGAAGGAUGAAGGUUUUCGGAUCGUAAACUUCUUUUCUAAGGAGCGAACGUUUAUUCAUUAAUAGUGAAUAAAUCUGACGGUACCUCAGGAAUAAGCCACGGCCAACUCCGUGCCAGCAGCCGCGGUAAUACGGAGGUGGCAAGCGUUACUCGGAAUCAUUGGGAGUAAAGGGCAAGUAGGCGGUUUAGUAAGUGAGGGGUGAAAUCUUCCGACUCAAUCGGAAAACUGCCUUUCAAACUGCUAGACUUGAGGAAGGAAGAGGAAAAUGGAAUUCUCGGUGUAAGGGUGAAAUCUGUGGAUAUCGAGAAGAACACCGGCGGCGAAGGCGAUUUUCUGGUCCUUUCCUGACGCUGAAUUGCGAAAGCUAGGGGAGCAAACAGAAUUAGAUACUCUGGUAGUCCUAGCCGUAAACGAUGAGCACUAGGUGUUGGCCCUUUUGGGGUCAGUGCCGCAGCUAACGCAUUAAGUGCUCCACCUGGGGACUACGGUCGCAAGGCUAAAACUCAAAGGAAUUGACGGGGGCCCGCACAAGCGGUGGAACAUGUGGUUCAAUUCGAUGCUACGCGAAAAACCUCACCAAGGCUUGACAUGCAGGAAGUAGUGAAAUGAAAGUGGAACGACCUGUCAAAUCAGGAGUCUGCACAGGUGCUGCAUGGCUGUCGUCAGCUCGUGUCGUGAGAUGUUGGGUUAAGUCCCGCAACGAGCGCAACCAUUACCCCUUGUUGCCACCACGAUAUAGUCUUCGGAUUAUAUUGUGAGCACUCUAGGGGGACUGCCUGGGUUAACCAGGAGGAAGGCGGAGAUGACGUCAAGUCAGUACGGCCUUUAUGCCUUGGGCUACACACGUGUUACAAUGGUCAGAACAAAGAGUUGCCAACCCGCGAGGGGGAGCUAAUCUCAAAAAACUGGCCUCAGUUCAGAUUGGAGUCUGCAAUUCGACUCCAUGAAGCUGGAAUCGCUAGUAAUGGCAGAUCAGCACGCUGCCGUGAAUACGUUCCCGGGCCUUGUACACACCGCCCGUCAAGCGAUGGGAGUUGGUGGUACCCGAAGUCCUACGCAAGUAGGCCUAAGGUAAAAUCAGCGACUGGCGCUAAGUCGUAACAAGGUA
RNAcentral lists this ribosomal RNA (1550 nucleotides) under metagenome. RNAcentral describes it as "bacterial SSU rRNA". It matches the Rfam family "Bacterial small subunit ribosomal RNA". The record is from RNAcentral.